UACGUAGGGGCAAGCGUUGUCCGGAAUUACUGGGCGUAAAGGGUGCGUAGGCGGCCUAAUAAGUCAGAUGUGAAAUACCGAGGCUCAACCUCGGAGGUGCAUUUGAAACUGUUGGGCUUGAGUGCAGGAGAGGAAAGUGGAAUUCCUAGUGUAGCGGUGAAAUGCGUAGAGAUAUGGAGGAACACCAGUGGCGAAGGCGGCUUCCUGGUCUGUAACUGACACUGAGGCGCGAAAGCGUGGGGAGCAAACAGGAUUAGAUACCCGGGUAGUCCCU
Molecule: ribosomal RNA, 274 nt
Filed under: uncultured prokaryote
Description: partial 16S ribosomal RNA
Rfam family: Bacterial small subunit ribosomal RNA
Source: RNAcentral